UUGCCGAUCACUUGAGCACACCC
Molecule: microRNA, 23 nt
Filed under: Panagrellus redivivus
Lineage: Eukaryota; Metazoa; Nematoda; Chromadorea; Rhabditida; Panagrolaimidae
Description: prd-miR-7875-3p
Source: miRBase by way of RNAcentral